ACAAGUUGAGGACCAAGAUAAAGUCCAAAAUGGUCUGAAUAAUUCAAAAUUCCUAUUGCUUCAUGGGAUUCACAUAAUUUUCUUGAAAUUGGAGUCUCUGAUAAAUAUUACCUUGUGACGGCCCCCUCGGGAUUUUUGUGCAAUGUUUAAUGAUCUUAGAGAGGGCCAGAGACAUGACAUGUGUUGCCAAUUCAGAACAUAAAAAUGGGAAGAUUGCAUCUUGCAGUUAGAGUUAUUGAAGCUGAUGAAAAGGGUGCAGGGAAGAUGAUGUUAACUUGAACAUUACAGCGUCUCGGUGAGCCUAUUUUCGUACCAAUUCUAAGCCAUUAGCUCGUCAACUUGAUGGUUGAGCACAAUGAUGUGUUAGAAGACAUCAAACUAACCAAUGAUGAGAUUGUUAAUUGGCAAGCUAUGCAACAUAGGAGCAUAUAGUACUUAGAAAGUAAGAAGAAAUCUUUAAGAACUGAUAAAUCUUGUAGCUUGGUUUUUGUGUGACUAUUGUCAAACGGUCUCCCUUCACUUCAACAUUCAUAAAGCUUGUGGAGCCAAGGGCCAUGGAUGUUUGAAGUAGUGGGGGUUCUUUGUAUGGAUGUUUAUAAGAAACUAUAAAGACAACUUGAUCUAAUAAUUUGAAGUUUCUUGCAUGUGAACAUGCUCCAGGUGGUGCAUGGUGGAAGCGAAAUCUCAGCCGCGGCUAUGACAAAUGUGGGCAUUUAACUUGGGAGUUGAUUUUAUUUUCAACUGGCAGAUAUGGACAAUUAACAUGGGAGUGGACAAAAGGGAUACGUAGCUACUUGCAUCCAAUUUUAUUUGCAAUUCUCUAUUUCCGUUUUACAUCUCGAUACUCCAUCCUUCAUGGUAAGUAGAGGUGGCAAAAUGGGUGGAUUGGGAGGGUUGGGAUGUGUCAAAAGCAAAAUCUUUAGUAUCGGAUGGGUUAGGUUGAUCCUCUCAGUUAAGUGUAACUACCUUCGAAAUCAAGCUCCACCAUCGGAUUCGGCUGAGAUUUAUUCUCAGCCAUUUAAACUCCCUAAAAUAACCGCUGAAGUGGCAGUUCAAGGCGGUUAUUUGCAGUUUUCUGACCUGGUGGUUUGCUCCAUAUUUUGUGCCCAUGAUCUCCACUUCUCUGGUGGUUAUAUCCGGCUUUUUAGAGCCCAAGAUCUCCAUACCAACUCCUACAAACUUGGUCAACAAAACAUGGAGCAAAGUAAAGGUUUCAAUAAUUUCAUCCACCAAGGGUGUUCGAGCAAUGAAAACCAAAUUCCAUCAGCAACUUUAUCACACGCUUUAACAAAGAUAUAGGUAGAGCAACUUAAUUAGUUGAGCGAAGGACAUGCAGCUGCAUUUUCUCUCAAUGAAUUUUAUGGUGCUUUUCUCUCAGCGGAAUUUUAGUUACUGAAAUUGACUCCAUCCUUACCUUUUCGGUUUUAGGCAUAUUAUAUUUGUCAAUGUGAAUUCAUUUGAGGAGUUAAUAAUA
This 1474-nucleotide long non-coding RNA is filed under the name Helianthus annuus (common sunflower). Lineage: Eukaryota; Viridiplantae; Streptophyta; Magnoliopsida; Asterales; Asteraceae. The record is from RNAcentral.